UUAAACGGUAGGGUAUUGGCCUACCGUGGCAAUGACGGGUAACGGGGAAUUAGGGUUCGAUUCCGGAGAGGGAGCCUGAGAAACGGCUACCACAUCUAAGGAAGGCAGCAGGCGCGCAAAUUACCCAAUCCUAAUACAGGGAGGUAGUGACAAGAAAUAACAAUACAGGACUUUUUGGUUUUGUAAUUGGAAUGAGUUA
This 199-nucleotide ribosomal RNA is filed under the name Cryptosporidium parvum. RNAcentral describes it as "partial 18S ribosomal RNA". It matches the Rfam family "Eukaryotic small subunit ribosomal RNA", at positions 321 to 521 of the family's 1831-position model. Lineage: Eukaryota; Apicomplexa; Conoidasida; Eucoccidiorida; Cryptosporidiidae. The record is from RNAcentral.